Molecule: ribosomal RNA, 422 nt
Filed under: Burkholderia sp. oral taxon C87
Lineage: Bacteria; Pseudomonadati; Pseudomonadota; Betaproteobacteria; Burkholderiales; Burkholderiaceae
Description: bacterial SSU rRNA
Rfam family: Bacterial small subunit ribosomal RNA
Source: RNAcentral
AUUGAACGCUGGCGGCAUGCCUUACACAUGCAAGUCGAACGGCAGCACGGGGGCAACCCUGGUGGCGAGUGGCGAACGGGUGAGUAAUACAUCGGAACGUGUCCUGUAGUGGGGGAUAGCCCGGCGAAAGCCGGAUUAAUACCGCAUACGCUCUAGGAGGAAAGGGGGGGAUCUUAGGACCUCCCGCUACAGGGGCGGCCGAUGGCAGAUUAGCUAGUUGGUGGGGUAAAGGCCUACCAAGGCGACGAUCUGUAGCUGGUCUGAGAGGACGACCAGCCACACUGGGACUGAGACACGGCCCAGACUCCUACGGGAGGCAGCAGUGGGGAAUUUUGGACAAUGGGCGAAAGCCUGAUCCAGCAAUGCCGCGUGUGUGAAGAAGGCCUUCGGGUUGUAAAGCACUUUUGUCCCGGAAAAGAAAA